Molecule: non-coding RNA, 29 nt
Filed under: Mus musculus (house mouse)
Lineage: Eukaryota; Metazoa; Chordata; Mammalia; Rodentia; Muridae
Source: RNAcentral
UGGGUGUCGCCUCUCCUGAGUCAGAAUGU